This 595-nucleotide long non-coding RNA is filed under the name Cicer arietinum (chickpea). Its description in RNAcentral is "long non-coding RNA (CARI_LNC000129)". Lineage: Eukaryota; Viridiplantae; Streptophyta; Magnoliopsida; Fabales; Fabaceae. The record is from RNAcentral.
GUGCAUAGUUAUCAAAUCCUCCACUAUGAAAAAAUGUUAAAUUAGCCCAUAAAAAAGAGAUUUUUAUGCUAAGUUUGGAAUUGGAUGCCGAGAAAAUCAAGAUAUUCGACUCUUUCCUCUCUUGCUAAAGUAGAGAUAUAUACAAACCUAUAAAAUCAUCCCUUGAUAGACCACACAUAUACCAUUUAUAGAUAAGGUCUUCAAGUCAUUAGCGAAAAUCUUAAUGUGUUGACUAUGUCCACAUUCCAACGAAUCAUAGCUAGAGUUAUAUUACAUUUUGAAUUUGAUAAAUGAAAAAUACAUUAAAUGCAUGUAUCAAUUCCUUAUUCUGGAAUAUAAAAUAUCUCAUAUGUGAACACUCCAAAACAUGGUUCAUAUGCUUGCAUAUAAUUUAAUUAACUAACGAUUAUAUUAUAAAUAAUAUUAAGCAUGUGUUAGUACGACCCGGAUAAUUUCCUUUGACCGCAUAUUGACUUCAUUCAAUACAUGUAGCUGUUGUUUUUAUUUAUACAAAACUAUAGACUACGUAGUAGCUGAUAAUAUGAAUUAUACAUAAAAAUAAAAACGAGAGAAUUUAACGGUGGGUCUGUUCGGG